RNAcentral lists this ribosomal RNA (648 nucleotides) under Alexandrium catenella. RNAcentral describes it as "LSU rRNA". It matches the Rfam family "Eukaryotic large subunit ribosomal RNA", at positions 145 to 731 of the family's 3401-position model. Lineage: Eukaryota; Dinophyceae; Gonyaulacales; Pyrocystaceae. The record is from RNAcentral.
GUAUUGUGGGAAUGUAUUACCAACAGAGGUGCAGGUGUCAGCCAUUUGAAAGAAAGCAUCAAUGAGGGUGAGAGUCCUGUUUGUCAUGUGCAGCCUUCUGUGCACGGUGUAUAUUUGCUGAGUCACACUCCUUGGGCAUUGGAAUGCAAAGUGGGUGGUAAGUUUCAUGCAAAGGUAAAUAUGCAAUUGAGACUGAUAGCGCACAAGUACCAUGAGGGACAUAUGAAAAGGACUUUGAAAAGAGAAUUAAAUGAGUUUGUAUUUGCUAAACACAAAGUAAACAGACUUGAUUUCCUCAGUGAGAUUGUAGUGCUUGCUUAACAAUGGGUUUUGGCUGCAAGUGCAAUAAUUCUUGCUUUGUGUGCCAGUUUUUAUGUGGACAUUUGAUUACCUUUGCACAUGAAUGGUAAUUUUCCUGCGGGGUGUGGAUUGCAUAUGCAUGUAAUGAUUUGCAUGUUUGUUAAAUGUGUCUGGUGUAUUUGUUUGUGUCCUUGUCCUUGAUGUUGCUUUCUCCCUUGUUCUUACAUGCCCUGGGGGACAUAUUCUGGCAAAAUGCUUCUGCUUGAUUCGUCUUGAAACACGGACCACGGAGUCUAUUAGAUGUGCAAGUUUGGAGGUGGUAUACCUGUGUGUGUCCUGAGCGUAUUG